UUAUAUUUUUUAUAAAAUUGUAUGUUCGGUUAAUGGACGUAUGUGUAUUUAUUUUUAAAACAUUCUCACGUGGUUACAGGAUCACGUUUCGACGUAACAAUGUCAUUUGUCAGCCAAAUGUUAUCGACACCUCACGACUACCAACUAUGUAGUUAUUUUUUAGCAGUCUGCAAAACAUUGAACUUUUAACAUUUGACCUUUCUUUGUUAUAAAAUGCAAACUUGAAUAAUUUUCUAAUAAGAUUUUAAAACCAAAUUUAAUGCUUAUAUUUUUGCAAUUCUGCACUUGCACUUUUGAUGAUACGAUUAUGACAAUGUACAUUUGAAUUGAUCAUUUAAGAAACCGACGAAAUACUAUUCAUUUUUUUACCAUUGUAGAAAUAAUGCUUAUUGAAUCUUCAAAAAUGAUUCUAUUGAGAGAAUACGUAUGACAACCUUUUAAAUAAUUGCAUAUUUUGUAUAUUAACUAGAAUAUUAACAAUAAUAAACGUGAGACAAUGACAAUUUGCAGACUUGAUUUUUACACAGUAAAUUAUUCGCUGUUUAGCGUAUUCUCAAAAGUAACGAAAUUAUUAAAUGUCAGUAAUUAUCUUCGUUUCAGUGAUUGCAGUAUUGAAAUACCAAUGACUUGGAUGAAGAAAUGAAAAAAAAAAACGGUUGUUUGAAGAUUACUCUCAUAGCAGCAGAUAUUUCUAGAAAGUUUAACACAUUUAUAUACAUCCACAACUUCAUUCCAUUAUCCAUGACCAAGCAGCUGCAGUGUUCUUUUCAAUGGAACUUGUAGUGUUAUUAAAUAAAAUCCAUAAUUAUGGCCAUAUUGAUAAAACACAUCCACAUCUUGAUAAUAACUUUAUACAUUUAGGGUAUGGUAGAAAAUAAAGUUUAUGGAUUGAGAUAUUUGUUAGAAUGAGAAAUCGGCAUCCUUGAACUUGGACAAAACUCGGGUGUAGCAAAAUUACGGAAAAUUUAAUAAAAUAAUCACUUAAUCUUAUUUCUUUCACUCUUCUAUACAUUUUUAAUGCCGUUUUGCUGAUUUUUUUUUGUAAAUAAACGAAUAAAAAGCCUACAACCUUGUAAUAUUUUGAAAAAAUGUUUGAUGGUUAAAAACAAUAUUAAAUCUUUUGAUCCUCAUAUUUCACAAUCUAACGUUAUCACAAAACAUGGAAAGUUAACGUAUAAAAACCUAUUCUAUAUUUUUGUAUCGAAAACUAUCUAAAACCAAAAUAAACGAACCAAUUAAAACACUUAAAAACGUGAAAUUUUAAUCUUGAUUGAGUACUCGUUAUUAUUGCACUGGGUAGAAACGUCACCUACUAGCUUUUCAUCGUUAUUAUGUAUUUUUACCCUAAUUUUCUACUUUAAUAAAAAAAUGUUCUGAUUUUUACUGAUUUCUCAUUAUUACACACAAAUACGGGUGUCGCACCUUGGUACCAUCUUAUAACCAAACGUCAUUCCAUAUCAGUCCUGUGGAUUCUCGCUUUUUGUUUGUGCACCAUAAUGCAUACUUCGAGAUUGUUUGGCAAUUGAUGGCGGAUUUCAAUCUCAUAGUAUUGGAUAUGAACCACAAAAAAAAUACUACAAAUAAUGCAAACCAUGAAAUGAUCCGCAAACUCUACGUUUAGGACAUACGAACUACUUAAAUUAAUUUCUUGUUCUAAAUAAAACGCAAGAAUUUUAUUUUAUUAUGAUAUAUAGAAUAUUAACACGUCACUCUGUAUUAUAUUUCUUUGAUUAUAUAUUCUACGACCCUUUUGUAUGUUUUUCUUCAUAAAUCUUCUUAGUUUCCGCUUUUUUUUUUUUAUUGAGAAUUAGUUUUUAGUAAAAAUAUUGCCGUUUCGAUAUAUUUCGAUCUUUAUCAAAAUAUCAUAUAUUAUAUAUAUUAUGCUAUAUAUCCAAUGUCAAGUCAUAUUUUGAUAAAGAGCAAAAUAUAUCGAAAUGUCAAUGUUUUUACCUGUUUUUAAAAGCUAAUUUUCAAUAAAAAAAAGACCAAAUACCAAAAAGAUUUGGCAUCAAAAACUCUGUAUAUUUUGAGAGAAUUAGCUAAAGCUGGCAUCACUGCAUUUUUGAAUACCACUAUCUUUGAGUAUUACGUUGUGAGAGCAGUUGUGUCGCUACUUAUAUGAUAAAAAAGCGUCACAAGUAACUGUGUUUCUCUGGUAUAGCGUAUAUAAGAGAGGAGAUAUAUAAAUUUGGUAAUGAACGUGCUAGUAAGCCUUGUUUUUCAGUUACUCCUGGAAAUUUGGAGGCGUAUUAUCAAAGAAAAUUCAAGAUGCAGCUACCAAGCGAUUGAAAAAAUAGCAGGAACGGCCAGAACCGGACUUAGGCAUGGGCCAACCCGGGCGUGCGCCGGGGGCCCCCGCUGCAGGGGGGCCUCGCGACGAGCCAUAUGAUUGAUUUUUAAACAUAUGAAUGCAAGCGAAAAAAUACAUACAUAGCCAAUGUUCAGAAUCAACAUAAAUUUUUUUAUGCGCAAUCAUUUUAAAAGUUCCGAAAAAUCAUAUUUAAAAAAAUGAAAGCUCGAAGUUGCGCCCAAUGCAUGGUAUCGCUGAUUUAUUUUUUAAAAUCACAACGACGAGUUAUAAACUACGCUUCCCCCGGAUGAGCUGUAGAUAUUUUAUUACAUAUUUACGAGUGUACGCGAGCGCUUGUUUUUUAGGCUUUCUUGAAAUCACCUCGUACAUUGCGAAACAUAGGAAAUACUGCAUUCUCGGAACAAGUGAUCGUGUUUUGUUUUGCUGCGCUCUACUCGCAUCAAUAGUAUAAGUAUCAGUCUGAGGAUGUAAGAAUUCACGUAAAACGCCCGCCUUACAUAGGCCCCUUAAGUAUUUUGGCCCGGGGGCCACGAUGACUCUAAGUCCGACUCUGGGAACGGCCACAAAAGUGCCUCCAAUAGUAUUUAAAAAUUUGAUGGUCAUGAAAUGGAUACACCAACCAAUUGUUACUCGAAUAUUCUUGAACUCGUUUCCAAAUUAUUUAAAUUGUGCAGAAAACUGUAGUUACCUCUGGCAGUAUCUUUUUUUAAGUUUAUUGUAUUGCACAUGCAAUCAAAAUAUAUGAGCCUCACAAUUUCAUUUUAAAAUUACUACUCAAAACAUUAACAGAUUCCAGAUUUUUUGUUGCAUGAGAUUUUAUUUUCUCAAAAAUGUCCAAUUUUUCCUUAAAAAUAAUCCUAAUUAACCCUUCUUAAAUCUCAAUAUUUGAUCAUAGUAACAUUACCUCAAAAAUAAAGGAUUGUAACUUUGUUAAUGAUCAUUAUCGUCUGAGAAACUACACUAUUUCUUUCCGGAUUCUCAUUUCGUGAUAUUAGAAAAAAAUUUUAUUGAUUUCAAAGCAUUUGACACAUCCAGAAGAUUUCAGUAUACAUCUGAAUGUGCCUAAAGUAUUUACCGCUAAAAAUUUGAUUUUUUGAAUUUUUCACACAAAUUUCGAGGUUAUGUGAAAAAAGUGUAAACAUCAAAGUUGUAGAUCUUCUUAUUACCUACAACUUUUACAUUUUCAUUUUUAAUGAGAAUAAUUCUCACGCACGCCACUGGAUUUAAGCCACUCCUGACAUCGCAAAUCAAGAUUAACUGUAUCGAUAUAUAGGACAGUCUGCAAUGGAAAACAUCGAAUAAAAUGCAAAUCUAGAAGUAGACUUGCAUUUUGUCCAAGUGGGCGAACACAUAUUACAUAAGCUAAUAGAAAUAUUUAUUACCUAGAACUAUCGUUUGUAAAACAUUUCUUUUAUGUCAAUAAAUAUGUCUAUCGAGAGGAUGUUUAAAUCACCGUGAAAUAGGAAGAACUUUAUACAGUAUAAUAUUUACACAGUUAUUUCAGAAGAUCUACAAAUUAUAAUAGACCAGGGUCAAAAAAAAUAACAGUAGGAUGAAACCCAUUGGAAAAGAAGGAGAAUAUGAUAAAAAUAGAAGGAAAAAUAAUUUACUAGCGAUCUAAGGUCGGGAAGGGAAGAGGGGUGAGUUUUUAAAGGUAAAAAAUAGUUUAUCUCGAUAUCCGGUAAAACUACAAGUCUUAUGGAAAAAGUCGAAGAGCAAAAUUUAUGUGAAAAAUUAAAAAAACUAAGUUUUUCGUUUGUAAUUUUUAUCUUUUACAAAAAACAAUUUUUUUCACGAAAUUUUGACAAAAUAUCCAAAAAGCACCCUAAAUUUCGAACGAAAAUUCUUCCAUCAAAAAGUCUGCGGGAUUUUCGUUCGUUGAAAUCUCUAAUUCCUGUUGGUGUAAGAAAAUAUUACUAUUACUAUAGUAAAUCUCCUCAGAAAAGGCAAAAGAUAAGACAAAAAAACUCGCACCCGCAAUUUUUUUAGACUAUUUGACUUUUUUCCAUAGGACUUGUAGUUUCGCUGGAAAUCGAAAUAAACCGUUUUUUACCCUUAAAAACUAACCCACUUUCUCUUCCCAACCUCCCAACGUCAAAAUAUUUUAUUACUCAACUCUUAAUUGCAUAUAUUUAUUACAUCGAACCUGCAACGUCUCUAGACCUUUCAAAAAAAUGUUACUUCUUGCUGUGCAAACCAGACCUCCACAGCUUUUAUUACCUCCUCGUUGGAAGAAAAUUUACGACCUUUUAAACUUUUUUCAGUUGAGGAAAAAGAUGAUAUUCAAAUCUGGUGAAUAAAGGGGGAGUUCUAGUAAUGUUCUAGUUUUUUGCAUGGCAACAUUAGAUUUGUAUGCAGGGGCGUUGUCCUGCAAAAACAAAACACCUUUGGAUAGCUUUUCUCGUCUUUACUCUUUAACUUUUUCCCAUAGAGUGGUCAGUAAUGUCGAAUAGUAAUCUCCAGUUAUUGUUUUACACUUAUUCAAAAAAUCAAUCAUGAUUACUCCAUGGCAAUCCCAAAAAACUGAAGCAAGAACUUUUCCAGCAGAUUUUUGAACACGAAACUUCUUAGGUCUUGGAGAACCAGAGUUUCGUCAUUCCAUCGAUUGUUGCUUUGUUUCUGGAUCGUAGAAAUGUACCCAAGUCACAUAAAUUGAUUUGAACUAUAUGAUGGACGCGUUCGUAUGAAAUAUUCAGUGCUUCAGAUAUCCGUUUUAGCCCAAUUCGACGGUCUGAUAAAAUCAUGUCAUGACUGACACAGAAACUGGUCUGGGCUAACAAGAUAUCAAUACAUCCUCGUAUUUGUGUGCUACUAUUUAAACUAUUGUCGACUAGCCAUUUGUUUUAGUUCAGUAUUUGAAUGAAUUAUACCGAAGUUGUGCAAAAUCGAAGAAGUUAUUUCACCAAUCGUAAUAUGCACAGAGUAGACAACAUAUUAAAUGCAAAUUCAUUGUUUCAAGUGAAAGUACUUAUAUAUAUUUUCCAUUUUUGGUUAGCUUUUCUCUUUUAACUGUCUUUUAUGCUAACUACAUAGUUUCAAAUUUGAUGAUGCACCCGACAAGUUCAGUGAUCACUUAUUAAGCUAUGAGAAUUGAUGAUGAAUCUACAGAGCACAUUGGUAACUAUAUAAUUCAUCGUUAACAAUAUUAAAUCAAACUAAUUUUUUUUUAAUUUUAUGUAAAAAACAAUAAAAAUAAGGAAGCUGUCGCUUCUUAUCGUUGGUCUCCAAAAGUUUUAAGAAAAAUAAGCGGCGAGUACCUAUUAGCUCAUGAAAAUCAAGAAAUUGUUUAUUUUCGAGGUAAUGUUACUAUGACGAAAUGUUGAGACUUACGAAGGAUGAAUUAGGAUUAUUUAAAAGCAAAAAUUACACAUUCUUGAGAAAAAUUACAUGAAAAAUAAUCAGUAUUUCUUAAGGAUUUCUAAAAAAAUAAAAUAUAUAGGGUGACCUAUUUGAAAUACCAUAAACCAAUAUUUUUUCGGUAAAAGAAAAGAUCUGACAAAAGUAUAGAUACCACCAUAACACCAGAAGUAUCACAGGACCCUUAUAUACAAAAAUUUAUAAAAAUCGUACAAGCCGUUUCCGAGAUAAUUGAGGUGUUUCACACAUAAAACCCACUCUGUAUAAGAUAUAUAUUUAAAUUAUAAUUUUUUUGCAUUUGUAUACAAAUUGAAUAAAACAACUUCCUUAGAA
This is a long non-coding RNA of Diorhabda sublineata, 6001 nucleotides long. RefSeq lists it as uncharacterized. The transcript is spliced from 2 exons. NCBI's taxonomy places the organism in Eukaryota, Metazoa, Arthropoda, Insecta, Coleoptera, Chrysomelidae. The record is from RefSeq and is a predicted model, not a curated record.